This 1092-nucleotide ribosomal RNA is filed under the name Kocuria sp. RNAcentral's name for it is "bacterial SSU rRNA". It matches the Rfam family "Bacterial small subunit ribosomal RNA", at positions 34 to 1137 of the family's 1533-position model. The record is from RNAcentral. Lineage: Bacteria; Bacillati; Actinomycetota; Actinomycetes; Micrococcales; Micrococcaceae.
CCCGGGCGGCGUCUUACCAUGCAGUCGAACGCUGAAGCACCAGCUUGCUGGUGUGGAUGAGUGGCGAACGGGUGAGUAAUACGUGAGUAACCUGCCCUUGACUCUGGGAUAAGCCCGGGAAACUGGGUCUAAUACUGGAUGCUACAUGUCACCGCAUGGUGGUGUGUGGAAAGGGUUUACUGGUCUUGGAUGGGCUCACGGCCUAUCAGCUUGUUGGUGAGGUAAUGGCUCACCAAGGCGACGACGGGUAGCCGGCCUGAGAGGGUGACCGGCCACACUGGGACUGAGACACGGCCCAGACUCCUACGGGAGGCAGCAGUGGGGAAUAUUGCACAAUGGGCGAAAGCCUGAUGCAGCGACGCCGCGUGAGGGAUGACGGCCUUCGGGUUGUAAACCUCUUUCAGCAGGGAAGAAGCCACAAGUGACGGUACCUGCAGAAGAAGCGCCGGCUAACUACGUGCCAGCAGCCGCGGUAAUACGUAGGGCGCAAGCGUUGUCCGGAAUUAUUGGGCGUAAAGAGCUCGUAGGCGGUUUGUCGCGUCUGCUGUGAAAGCCCGGGGCUUAACCCCGGGUGUGCAGUGGGUACGGGCAGACUAGAGUGCAGUAGGGGAGACUGGAAUUCCUGGUGUAGCGGUGGAAUGCGCAGAUAUCAGGAGGAACACCGAUGGCGAAGGCAGGUCUCUGGGCUGUUACUGACGCUGAGGAGCGAAAGCAUGGGGAGCGAACAGGAUUAGAUACCCUGGUAGUCCAUGCCGUAAACGUUGGGCACUAGGUGUGGGGGACAUUCCACGUUUUCCGCGCCGUAGCUAACGCAUUAAGUGCCCCGCCUGGGGAGUACGGCCGCAAGGCUAAAACUCAAAGGAAUUGACGGGGGCCCGCACAAGCGGCGGAGCAUGCGGAUUAAUUCGAUGCAACGCGAAGAACCUUACCAAGGCUUGACAUAUACCGGAUCGUUCCAGAGAUGGUUCUUCCCCUUUGGGGUCGGUAUACAGGUGGUGCAUGGUUGUCGUCAGCUCGUGUCGUGAGAUGUUGGGUUAAGUCCCGCAACGAGCGCAACCCUCGUUCCAUGUUGCCAGCACGUGAUGGUGGGGA